GCCGUAGCCAUUGUCCAAAAUUGCCCGGGCGGACCAAUCGCCGCCCGCCGUCUCCAUCUUUGCUCUCGGCCAAUCCCCGCGGCCAUUGUCCAAAAUUGCGAGCCGGACCAAUCGCGGUCCGCCAUUUCCAUCUUUCCGACGGCCAAUCACGACGGCGCAUCUCCAAAAUUCAACCGUCCGGCCUUCACGCAGCCGCAGAAGACCUCUACUGUCAUUUCAAAUUUACCGCCUCGAAUGAUUGGAAAGACGUCCAACCUUCAGCCGUCUGUAACUACAAAAGAUGGGUCCAAACAAAAAAAACAUAGGGCCGUGGGAGAGGAGGAGGAGAUCAGGCGUUUGGCCUCUGAGGCAGGAAACAGACCAGCACCUCGGCAGAAGAAGUGGCAUGAUCUAUAUCUGAAGCCUUCCAGUUCGCUCCUUGUCUCAGUGCAUCCAGGAACCUCAUGUACAGUGGCACAGCAGCCAGGGCCUUCACCUGGUGAGACGCUACAGCCAGGACUCUACCUGCAGGUUCACCACCACCACCACCACCAAAGGAUGUCUCCUUAGCUAGUGGUGAACCUUGGCAUCAACCUCUGAUGUAUCCAGCCCCAUCACAAGCCCCACAAAAAGAAAAGUGUCACCACCUGGACACACACUGUUUCUCCUGUGUCUCUUCCUCCUUCUCCUGUUCCUGUAUCAAGCCUCUUCCAUUCUGCCUCCACUGCUACAGCUGAACCCCCUCUGCUCCUCUCACCUUGCCAUUGCCUAAAAAUGUGGGGAUCGUACCUGUUUCAGAUGCUGCCUGGCUGCCCACAAAGCUGCUAAAGACAUUUCAGCAGCCCUGUGGAAAGACCAGCGUCUUUUCAAAGACCUGAAACUGUGGUAUGAUCCACCAGAGUCUUCCCUCAUAUACCAUCAGGUCCUCACUCCUGAGCGCUUCUUCCACCACGACUUUUCUCAUGGAAAAAACAUGGUGUGACAUUCUUUGUCAAUAUGUAUAUAAUGUAAAUAGUUUUAAAAGAAAAAAGUCUUAAUCUGCUGCUGUUCUAUUUUGUUUUUUAACUUUAACACACGUGUUUGUGAGUGUGUGUGUGAAAUUUGUAAUAAAUUUGUUACAUUUCAGUGACUGUCUUCAUUUUUUACUGCAAAAAUGCAAACUCACUCAUAGAAAACGAUAACAUUGUUGCAGUACUUCAUUCAGAAAUAUUAAAAUGACUAUAAAAGUACAUUUAGGUACAUGUGAUAACACUUGGUAGUAGUCUGUGUUAAAGGCCUCAUGUUCCAACGGUGGAAUCGAACCAGCGACCUUUGGGUCAAGAGCCUCCUAUGCUUUUCUGCAGUUAAGUGUCAUAUUUGGUUAAAUUUCUCUAAUUAAUAGACCAGAAUAUGUGUGAUUUUACUUGUGAUGGACAGCAGAGACACUAAUAACUACAGGGUUCUUCCAUCUUUUCAAAAUUUCCUCUCUUUUCCUUCUUUUUCCUUCUUUUUCCUUCUUCCCCCUUCUUCCCCCUCUUCCUUCUUCUUCCCCCGCCUAUCCAGACUAUUGU
This is a long non-coding RNA of Mugil cephalus (flathead mullet), 1529 nucleotides long. RefSeq lists it as uncharacterized. NCBI's taxonomy places the organism in Eukaryota, Metazoa, Chordata, Actinopteri, Mugiliformes, Mugilidae. The transcript is spliced from 5 exons. The record is from RefSeq and is a predicted model, not a curated record.